GGAGCAGGGGCUCCCAAUUGAGGAACAUCGAGUUCGGCACCUCCCUUAACAGCUACAUGGAGGAGUAUGCGGCGUACAUUUUCUGCCCUCAAGGCACGGCCAAAAUGCAAGAGAAUGCAGUGACAAAGAGCAGCCGGGCCAAGGUGCUAGUUAAAUUUCUUUGCCUCGGCUGCCCGUCACUGCAGUUGUGUGAUUGGAGGUUACUCUUUAACCUGCCCCUGCUCAAGUCCUACCCUGCACUCCUGAGGAACAUCGGCCUGGCCCCAACUACAGUGGCACUGUAUUUGGGCACAUGAUGAGGAACACAUGAUGAGGAAUUGCUCAAUUUGGGGCGAAGGGAGAAACAAAACAAGAUACUUAACGGAGGUGACAGAUCAUGACACUAACCUUAUGUAUACCUGUUCUUUAUUCUGAAGGUGACGCCAUGGAAGAAGCAAUCCGCUUCACAGCUUCUG
Solea solea (common sole) is the source of this 455-nucleotide long non-coding RNA. RefSeq lists it as uncharacterized. Lineage: Eukaryota; Metazoa; Chordata; Actinopteri; Pleuronectiformes; Soleidae. The record is from RefSeq and is a predicted model, not a curated record. The transcript is spliced from 3 exons.